GACGAACGCUGGCGGCGUGCUUAACACAUGCAAGUCGAACGAAGAGCGAUGGAAGCUUGCUUCUCUCAAUCUUAGUGGCGAACGGGUGAGUAACGCGUAAUCAACCUGCCCUUCAGAGGGGGACAACAGUUGGAAACGACUGCUAAUGCCGCAUACGAUCUGACCUCGGCAUCGAGGAUAGAUGAAAGGUGGCCUCUAUUUAUAAGCUAUCACUGAAGGAGGGGAGUGCGUCUGAUUAGCUAGUUGGAGGGGUAACGGCCCACCAAGGCGAUGAUCAGUAGCCGGUCUGAGAGGAUGAACGGCCACAUUGGGACUGAGACACGGCCCAGACUCCUACGGGAGGCAGCAGUGGGGAAUCUUCCGCAAUAGACGAAAGUCUGACGGAGCAACGCCGCGUGAGUGAUGACGGCCUUCGGGUUGUAAAGCUCUGUUAAUCGGGACGAAAGGCCUUCUUGCGAAUAGUUAGAAGGAUUGACGGUACCGGAAUAGAAAGCCACGGCUAACUACGUG
Molecule: ribosomal RNA, 510 nt
Filed under: uncultured bacterium
Lineage: Bacteria
Description: partial 16S ribosomal RNA
Rfam family: Bacterial small subunit ribosomal RNA
Source: RNAcentral